AUCAUUACGAGUUAGGGUCUCACCGGCCCGAUCUCCCAACCCUUUGUCUACUUGACCAUCGUUGCUUCGGCGAGCCCGUCCCUCGGGACCGCCGGGGGGAUCUUCACCGACCCUCUGGCCCGCGCUCGUCGAUAGCCCCCAAUUUUAAAACCUUAACUAAACGUGUCUUGAAUCUAAGUAUUAUUGUUAAAUAAAAACAAAACUUUCAACAACGGAUCUCUUGGUUCUGGCAUCGAUGAAGAACGCAGCGAAAUGCGAUAAGUAAUGCGAAUUGCAGAAUUCCAGUGAGUCAUCGAAUCUUUGAACGCACAUUGCGCCCUUUGGUAUUCCGAAGGGCAUGCCUGUUCGAGCGUCAUUAUCACCCCUCAAGCCCCCUGGCUUGGUGUUGGACGGUUUGGUGGAGGCCCUUCGCGGGCGUCUACCCCUCCCAAAGACAAUGACGGCGGCCUCGUUGGACCCCCGGUACACUGAGUUCUUCACGGGACACGUAUCGGAUACAUGGGUUUGCGGGACACGGUCUACCUCCCUUUAGGGAGAAUCUUUCUAAGGUUGACC
RNAcentral lists this ribosomal RNA (555 nucleotides) under Exophiala psychrophila. Its description in RNAcentral is "eukaryotic LSU rRNA". The stretch from base 201 to 355 matches the Rfam family "5.8S ribosomal RNA". The record is from RNAcentral. Lineage: Eukaryota; Fungi; Ascomycota; Eurotiomycetes; Chaetothyriales; Herpotrichiellaceae.